This 450-nucleotide ribosomal RNA is filed under the name uncultured bacterium. Its description in RNAcentral is "bacterial SSU rRNA". It matches the Rfam family "Bacterial small subunit ribosomal RNA", at positions 329 to 794 of the family's 1533-position model. The record is from RNAcentral.
GGCCAGACUCCUACGGGAGGCAGCAGUGGGGAAUAUUGGGCAAUGGGCGCAAGCCUGACCCAGCAACGCCGCGUGAAGGAAGAAGGCUUUCGGGUUGUAAACUUCUUUUCUUGGGGACGAAGAAAGUGACGGUACCCAAGGAAUAAGCCACGGCUAACUACGUGCCAGCAGCCGCGGUAAUACGGAGGAUGCGAGCGUUAUCCGGAUUUAUUGGGUUUAAAGGGUGCGCAGGCGGCACGGCAAGCCGGCGGUCAAAUCGCGGGGCUCAACCCCGCCCAGCCGUCGGAACUGCCGGGCUAGAGUGGGCGAGAAGUGCGCGGAAUGCGUGGUGUAGCGGUGAAAUGCAUAGAUAUCACGCAGAACGCCGACUGCGAAGGCAGCAUACCGGCGCCCAACUGACGCUGAGGCACGAAAGCGUGGGGAUCGAACAGGAUUAGAUACCCCGGUAAU